RNAcentral lists this ribosomal RNA (428 nucleotides) under Gemmatimonadota bacterium. RNAcentral describes it as "Gemmatimonadetes bacterium partial 16S ribosomal RNA". It matches the Rfam family "Bacterial small subunit ribosomal RNA", at positions 355 to 775 of the family's 1533-position model. Lineage: Bacteria; Pseudomonadati; Gemmatimonadota. The record is from RNAcentral.
UAGGGAAUCUUCGGCAAUGGACGAAAGUCUGACCGAGAAACGCCGCGUGAGUGAAGAAGGUUUUCGGAUCGUAAAACUCUGUUGUUAGAGAAGAACAAGGACGUUAGUAACUGAACGUCCCCUGACGGUAUCUAACCAGAAAGCCACGGCUAACUACGUGCCAGCAGCCGCGGUAAUACGUAGGUGGCAAGCGUUGUCCGGAUUUAUUGGGUGUAAAGCGAGCGCAGGCGGUUUCUUAAGUCUGAUGUGAACGCCCCCGGCUCAACCGGGGAGGGUCAUUGGAAACUGGGAGACUUGAGUGCAGAAGAGGAGAGUGGAAUUCCAUGUGAAGCGGUGAAAUGCGUAGAUAUAUGGAGGAACACCAGUGGCGAAGGCGGCUCUCUGGUCUGUAACUGACGCUGAGGCUCGAAAGCGUGGGGAGCAAACAG